RNAcentral lists this ribosomal RNA (497 nucleotides) under uncultured bacterium. Its description in RNAcentral is "partial 16S ribosomal RNA". It matches the Rfam family "Bacterial small subunit ribosomal RNA", at positions 28 to 507 of the family's 1533-position model. The record is from RNAcentral.
GAUGAACGCUGGCGGCGUGCCUAAUACAUGCAAGUCGAGCGAACAGACGAGGAGCUUGCUCCUCUGACGUUAGCGGCGGACGGGUGAGUAACACGUGGAUAACCUACCUAUAAGACUGGGAUAACUUCGGGAAACCGGAGCUAAUACCGGAUAACAUGUUGAACCGCAUGGUUCAACAGUGAAAGACGGUCUUGCUGUCACUUAUAGAUGGAUCCGCGCCGCCUUAGCUAGUUGGUAAGGUAACGGCUUACCAAGGCAACGAUGCGUAGCCGACCUGCGAGGGUGAGCGGCCACACUGGAACUGAGACACGGUCCAGACUCCUACGGGAGGCAGCAGUAGGGAAUCUUCCGCAAUGGGCGAAAUCCUGACGGAGCAACGCCGCGUGAGUGAAGAAGGUCUUCGGGUCGUAAAGCUCUGUUAUUGGGGAAGAACAAAUGUGUGAGUAACUAUGCACGUCUUGACGGUACCUAAUCAGAAAGCCACGGCUAACUACGUG